Amphiprion ocellaris (clown anemonefish) is the source of this 1509-nucleotide long non-coding RNA. RefSeq lists it as uncharacterized. The transcript is spliced from 3 exons. The record is from RefSeq and is a predicted model, not a curated record. NCBI's taxonomy places the organism in Eukaryota, Metazoa, Chordata, Actinopteri, Pomacentridae.
UUUCUGAGACCGGAAGUGGUCAUCAGCAAGUGUGGAGCCAAACAGAGUACGGUGCAUAGACUGUACAUAAAUUUUUUUUCGUGAGUUUUCAUGGUCAAAAUGAGAGAUCAGGUGGCCGAUCUUAAAAUAAAUCAAUAUUGAUUUUUUUAUAGAGCGUUAAAGUUUUGCGAAUCCAGGGGGCGGGACUACUUAAUUGACAGGCCGGUCUGGAAUGAUUGACAGGUCCUAUGGAGGAGGCAGCAGAGACUCUGCUCUCCUCGUUUGGAUUAAUUCUGAUAUAAUAACUGUUGGUUUAUUUAUCGGUGGAGCAGCAGAACAUUUUCCACAGACAGUUUUCCUGCCCGUUGGCUUGUUUUACCCAGUUUUCUAUCAGCAGACACUGAAAGGACUCUAAUAGUUCGAGUGAAAGUAGCAGUUCCUCCUUAAGGUCAGAGAUUGCAGCAUCUGAGGGCCUCUUCAAAAGAAGAUGUAGUUGAUGAAGGCGUUCUGGAGCAGGACCAGAAAGACCACGACCAAGCAGCCUUGAGAUCUUAGGCAGCGUCUCCCUCAGGUCCCUCUCUAUCUCCCUAUACAUCCACCAACCACUGGAACACAUGUCCAAAGUUCUGCCGGUCCAGCUCAGCUUCCCCUCAGAAGAAGUGCAACCACCUGCCAGAUGAAGGAGCCUUUUGAGAGGCAGCUGGCAUCGUGAUUGGACUGUACUUUGGCCUGUUCCAAUCCAGCUUCAGCUCCAGAGACGGCAGGCGGGACGAGUCAACGGAGGCCGGGUGGACGAAGGCAUGCAGCUGAGUACAAUCCAGAAAACAACAGAGGAGGAGUGCAGUGGCCCAGGGCCACAACACACAGAGUAGCAUCGUAUGUCUCUUAGAAAACAUCAUAGUAGAGCCUUUGGUAUGAAAAAACACCAUCAUAUACAUCAAAUAUUGUACAAAUAACAAGUCAAAGGAAAGAGACAUACAUUGUAGAAUUGUAGUAAUUGUGGGCUGACUGAUUUACUGAUUAUCAGUAUUUUAUUUUUUACUGAUUUACGGUAAUAAAUACAUUUAAAAAUGGUGCUACUUUGGCUCUGAACCUUAAUCUACCUGUGGUCGCUCUGUCUUCUGGAGUGAUUUGAUUGGUUAUACGUCACGAAUAAAACUCCUUUAACUUAAUAUCUGUAAACAAAACAAAAACGUAUCAACAAAGUUUCCUGUUUGUGUUCUUCUAAGUUUAACUCCAAGAUUUUAACUACUUUCAUUUACUGCAAAUGAAUAUCUACUCCAAAUGUCUCACUAAUAAUCAUUAUCAGCCUUAAAAACCCACAAAACACCCCUCUAUACUCGACCACACUUAGUACAGUCCGGUUCCCCCUUCUAUAAAUCUGCUUGGAAUCGUCCACUUCCUGUUUGUCAAAGUGGCCUUCUACCUGGACAGGUUUUUUUGGAGCUCAUGCAACAAACAUUUUGGGUAACUGCACUUUAAUAUGGAUGGAUGACACUGAAUUAGAGUCUGUUUUAAUGAGACUGAGUU